GUUUGAUCAUGGCUCAGAAUGAACGUUGGCGGCGUGGAUUAGGCAUGCAAGUCGAGCGAGAACCCAGCAAUGGGGGACAGCGGCGUAAGGGACAGUAAUGUGUAGAUUAUCUGCCCUCGGGACCGGGAUAGCUGCGGGAAACUGCAGGUAAUACCGGAUAACAUCUCCGGAUCAAAGGUGUGAUUCCGCCCGAGGAUGAGUCUGCAUCCUAUUAGCUAGUUGGCAGGGUAAUGGCCUACCAAGGCUUUGAUGGGUAGCGGGUGUGAGAGCACGACCCGCGUCAUUGGGACUGAGACACUGCCCAGACACCUACGGGUGGCUGCAGUCGAGAAUCUUCGGCAAUGGGCGCAAGCCUGACCGAGCGACGCCGCGUGUGGGAUGAAGGCCUUCGGGUUGUAAACCACUGUUAGAGGGGAUGAAAUGCAGGUGGGUUCUCCCAUCUGUUUGACAUAGCCUCAGAGGAAGGACGGGCUAAGUUCGCGCCAGCAGCCGCGGUAAGACGAACCGUCCAAACGUUAUUCGGAAUUACUGGGCUUAAAGGGUGCGUAGGCGGCGCGGCAAGUUGGGUGUGAAAUACCUCGGCUCAACCGAGGAACUGCGCCCAAAACUGCCGUGCUUGAGGAAGAUAGAGGUGAGCGGAACUUAGGGUGGAGCGGUGAAAUGCGUUGAUAUCCUAAGGAACACCGGUGGCGAAAGCGGCUCACUGGAUCUUUUCUGACGCUGAGGCACGAAAGCUAGGGUAGCGAACGGGAUUAGAUACCCCGGUAGUCCUAGCCGUAAACGAUGAGCACUGGAUUGGAGGGUCCUCCAUAGCCUUCCAGUCGCAACGAAAGCGUUAAGUGCCCCGCCUGGGGAGUACGGUCGCAAGGCUGAAACUCAA
This 880-nucleotide ribosomal RNA is filed under the name uncultured bacterium. RNAcentral describes it as "bacterial SSU rRNA". It matches the Rfam family "Bacterial small subunit ribosomal RNA", at positions 11 to 904 of the family's 1533-position model. The record is from RNAcentral.